Halocaridina rubra (Hawaiian volcano shrimp) is the source of this 73-nucleotide non-coding RNA. Lineage: Eukaryota; Metazoa; Arthropoda; Malacostraca; Decapoda; Atyidae. The record is from the annotation of a GenBank genome assembly.
GGCCAUCGUGGCCGAGUAGUAACGUUCGCGAUUUUGAUUCGUCAGGAUGUGGGUUCGAGGCCCACCGUGGUCU